UCUCUCAGGUAUAGGUUCAAUUCCUAUUUCUCUA
Molecule: transfer RNA, 34 nt
Filed under: Hyloscirtus tapichalaca
Lineage: Eukaryota; Metazoa; Chordata; Amphibia; Anura; Hylidae
Description: partial tRNA-Gln
Source: RNAcentral